Molecule: non-coding RNA, 309 nt
Organism: Prunus avium (sweet cherry)
Lineage: Eukaryota; Viridiplantae; Streptophyta; Magnoliopsida; Rosales; Rosaceae
Source: RefSeq, a predicted model, not a curated record
AAUUAUGUUGUAGAUUGAAGAGGAAUAAGAAGAAGAAGAGCAUCGACCAUGGUGAUGCAUGCGCUCAUGACUCGUGGAGCAGCUUGUGCGGCUCCAGGCUCAUCUUCUUCCGCCAAUCCUUUCGAUGCUUUAGGCAACGCUCUUAUCGGUUCUUCUUCCAAGACUUAGGCUUUCGUCUGAUUCACGAGCAGAACACCCACAGCUUCUGAGCCAUAAUUUUAUUCAGACGCUCAUGGCCACAUGCUGCACCAGAUCCGAGAGAAGGCUCACAAGGAUGAGCUUAAGAAGAACGAAGAGACCAUUUCAAGG